Long non-coding RNA from Gavialis gangeticus (Gharial), 98 nucleotides. RefSeq lists it as uncharacterized. The transcript has 3 exons. Lineage: Eukaryota; Metazoa; Chordata; Crocodylia; Gavialidae. The record is from RefSeq and is a predicted model, not a curated record.
GUACAGGACAGUUUAAGACUUUCAAGAUAGAGAUGGGAUGCAAUACAUAAUUUGUUUUGAUCAUUGAAUAAAAGGAGGGUCAGAAAGCAGCAAAAUUU